This 169-nucleotide unclassified non-coding RNA is filed under the name uncultured Helotiales. RNAcentral's name for it is "sequence contains ITS1". The record is from RNAcentral. Lineage: Eukaryota; Fungi; Ascomycota; Leotiomycetes; Helotiales.
CCGAGUUCAUGCCCUCACGGGUAGAUCUCCCACCCUAUGUUAUUAUUACCUUUGUUGCUUUGGCGGGCCGUCAGGCUUCGGUCAGGCUACCAGCUCCGGCUGGUAUGCGCCCGCCAGAGGACCCCAAACUCUGUGUUAUAUGUCGUCUGAGUACUAUAUAUAAUAGUUA